UUGCGAACCCAUAAUCCCUAGUUGUUUCUCUAUUCUAUUGUAUAUAGUUGGACAAACGAAUUAAUCGAAGGAUUGAUUAGGUAGAUGAAUUGAUUGAAUAGAAAAUGUAGGAAGAAGACAGGGAAGAAAACAGGUAGCGUGUUGACCUUGUGGAUCAGUGGAGGAGAUGGAUAAGUAUUAAGAUGUUGUGAUAGACUAGUAAAGAUGGGUUAGUAUCUAAUUCGGAUAUGGAGUGGAGAUUACUUCAGAUUUGGAUAGAGUAUCAUCAGAAAAUCAACUAAAAACUCAUGUUUCAUGCCAUGAAAACAACCACCAAGUGAUGUUUUUGUUGUCGACUGCGUGAUGAUUGAUUAUGAUUUUAGUUCAUUUGUGUCGGCUUACAAUUGAUGGGUAGUUAUUGGAUUCGAAUUUUCAGGUAAGAAGAGGCUAUAAAUUGAGGCGCAAGCACCAACAGUUGGCACCUCUUCAUCACCAGGAACACGGCCGUAAGUCCACCAACUAUGGUGAUUCAGCAGUCCACCAAGUAACCAUCACCGGGACAUAAAACGAUGAGCUCACACUCACUGCAAACAACCCCACAAAAUCAAUUACUCAUAACAGUGAGAUUGUUUUUUUUUUUCAUAGAUUGGGGAUGCUCUUAAAGUGAAUGAGAAGUGAUAUUGUUGUGGAUAAUGAGAUGAAUAGAAAAAAUUAAAAGUUUGUGUAGGUUUAUAAUCGAUGGGUAGUUAUCAGAUUCCAGUUUGCAGGUAAGAAGAAGCUAUAAAUUGAGGUGCAAACCCCAACCGUUACACCUCUUCAUCACCAGAAACUAGCUCGGAAGAUAGUCGACAAAAUUCCCAAACCAGUUCUCUCUGUUUACCAACUUCUACUCCAACCUUCUGCAGCGUGUAGUACCAGUAACUCUUAGCAAGUAACAAGACUUGAACCUGUUUGCAUCAGAAGCUUGGGAUUGAAAGGUUUAGUGGUGCAAUAUGUUAGGAUUUUAUUAAAAAACAUUAUGGAAGAAAGAUGCAUAUGAGUUUGAUUUAGCUUCUGACUCGCAACUUAAUUUAGUAACGACACAAAACUGACUCAGUAUCCCAACUAGGUCCUGGUUCUAGACGAUUGAUCAGGGGUUAAAAUGUCUUUUCCAGUAGCAAAAUGACUGCCACCUAAGUACUAACGGCAGUUAGCCGUUUUUUCAAAAAAACGGAACGGAAAAAGUCAAUUCAUGGGAAUUAAAUAUCGGUUCGCGAGUUAUAACCCCAAAGGUGUUACUAUCCAUCCACAAAAAAUCCGCAGAAAAAAAGAGAUUCACAAAAACCUCAAAAAACAAAAUUUUGAUGAAACCUCAUAGAAUUUGACGAAAUCAAAUUUGAAAUUUGGGAUUUUUGUGUCAAUUUUUUAAAAUUUGGGGUUUUUGUAUCAAUUUAGUUUAGGAUGAGUUUUAAUGAAUUCCAACAUUUGAGUGAGGUUUUUGUACCACAAGUUUGGUCACCUUGGAUUUUUAUGACAAGUUUUGAUUAAA
Papaver somniferum (opium poppy) is the source of this 1507-nucleotide long non-coding RNA. RefSeq lists it as uncharacterized. NCBI's taxonomy places the organism in Eukaryota, Viridiplantae, Streptophyta, Magnoliopsida, Ranunculales, Papaveraceae. The transcript has 2 exons. The record is from RefSeq and is a predicted model, not a curated record.